RNAcentral lists this ribosomal RNA (480 nucleotides) under uncultured bacterium. Its description in RNAcentral is "bacterial SSU rRNA". It matches the Rfam family "Bacterial small subunit ribosomal RNA", at positions 28 to 491 of the family's 1533-position model. The record is from RNAcentral.
GAUGAACGCUGGCGGCAUGCCUAAUACAUGCAAGUCGAACGAGAGGAAGGAAAGCUUGCUUUCCUGAAUCUAGUGGCGAACGGGUGAGUAACACGUAGGUAACCUGCCCAUGUGCCCGGGAUAACUUCUGGAAACGGAUGCUAAAACCGGAUAGGUAGCAGACAAGCAUUUGACUGCUAUUAAAGUGGCCUUGGCCAUGAACAUGGAUGGACCUGCGGUGCAUUAGCUGGUUGGUGAGGUAACGGCCCACCAAGGCGACGAUGCAUAGCCGGCCUGAGAGGGCGGACGGCCACAUUGGGACUGAGACACGGCCCAAACUCCUACGGGAGGCAGCAGUAGGGAAUUUUCGUCAAUGGGGGGAACCCUGAACGAGCAAUGCCGCGUGAGUGAGGAAGGUCUUCGGAUCGUAAAGCUCUGUUGUAAGAGAAAAACGGCACUCAUAGGGAAUGAUGAGUGAGUGAUGGUAUCUUACCAGAAAGU